GAUGAACGCUGGCGGCGUGCCUAAUACAUGCAAGUCGAGCGAACAGACGAGGAGCUUGCUCCUCUGACGUUAGCGGCGGACGGGUGAGUAACACGUGGAUAACCUACCUAUAAGACUGGGAUAACUUCGGGAAACCGGAGCUAAUACCGGAUAAUAUAUUGAACCGCAUGGUUCAAUAGUGAAAGACGGUUUUGCUGUCACUUAUAGAUGGAUCCGCGCCGCAUUAGCUAGUUGGUAAGGUAACGGCUUACCAAGGCAACGAUGCGUAGCCGAACUGAGAGGGUGAUCGGCCACACUGGAACUGAGACACGGUCCAGACUCCUACGGGAGGCAGCAGUAGGGAAUCUUCCGCAAUGGGCGAAAGCAUGACGGAGCAACGCCGCGUGAGUGAUGAAGGUCUUCGGAUCGUAAAACUCUGUUAUUAGGGAAGAACAAAUGUGUAAGUAACUAUGCACGUCUUGACGGUACCUAAUCAGAAAGCCACGGCUAACUACGUG
Molecule: ribosomal RNA, 497 nt
Filed under: uncultured bacterium
Lineage: Bacteria
Description: partial 16S ribosomal RNA
Rfam family: Bacterial small subunit ribosomal RNA
Source: RNAcentral